Molecule: ribosomal RNA, 501 nt
Filed under: uncultured bacterium
Lineage: Bacteria
Description: partial 16S ribosomal RNA
Rfam family: Bacterial small subunit ribosomal RNA
Source: RNAcentral
AUUGAACGCUGGCGGCAGGCUUAACACAUGCAAGUCGAGCGGAGAUGAGGUGCUUGCACCUUAUCUUAGCGGCGGACGGGUGAGUAAUGCUUAGGAAUCUGCCUAUUAGUGGGGGUCAACAUUCCGAAAGGAAUGCUAAUACCGCAUACGUCCUACGGGAGAAAGCAGGGGAUCUUCGGACCUUGCGCUAAUAGAUGAGCCUAAGUCGGAUUAGCUAGUUGGUGGGGUAAAGGCCUACCAAGGCGACGAUCUGUAGCGGGUCUGAGAGGAUGAUCCGCCACACUGGGACUGAGACACGGCCCAGACUCCUACGGGAGGCAGCAGUGGGGAAUAUUGGACAAUGGGGGGAACCCUGAUCCAGCCAUGCCGCGUGUGUGAAGAAGGCCUUAUGGUUGUAAAGCACUUUAAGCGAGGAGGAGGCUACUGAGACUAAUACCCUUGGAUAGUGGACGUUACUCGCAGAAUAAGCACCGGCUAACUCUGUGCCAGCCGCCGCGGUAA